This 617-nucleotide ribosomal RNA is filed under the name Ochthebius virgula. Its description in RNAcentral is "partial 16S ribosomal RNA". It matches the Rfam family "Bacterial large subunit ribosomal RNA", at positions 1819 to 2768 of the family's 2925-position model. Lineage: Eukaryota; Metazoa; Arthropoda; Insecta; Coleoptera; Hydraenidae. The record is from RNAcentral.
GUCUUUUUGAUAAUAAUUUAAAGUCUGGCCUGCCCAAUGAUAAUUUGAAUGGCCGCGGUAUUUUGACCGUGCAAAGGUAGCAUAAUCAUUAGUUUUUUAAUUGAAAGCUGGAAUGAAUGGCUGAACGAGAAAAUUACUGUCUCAAUUUUAUUUAAUUAGAAUUUUAUUUUUAAGUAAAAAAGCUUAAAUAUUUUUAAAAGACGAGAAGACCCUAUAGAGUUUAAUAUUUUAUUGUUAUUUAAAUUUUUAUAAUAAUAUUAUUAUGAUAAAAUAUUUUAUUGGGGUGAUAAAUAAAUUAAAAAAACUUUAUUUUUAUUUAAACAUAAAUUUAUGAUUAAUUGAUCCAUAUUUAAUGAUUAUAAGAAUAAAUUACCUUAGGGAUAACAGCGUAAUUUUUUUAGAGAGUUCAAAUCGAAAAAAAAGAUUGCGACCUCGAUGUUGGAUUAAAGUUAAUUUUUGGUGUAGUCGCUAAAAAAUUAAGUCUGUUCGACUUUUGAAACUUUACAUGAUCUGAGUUUAAACCGGUGUGAGCCAGGUUGGUUUCUAUCUUUAAAAAAAUAAAAUAUUUUAGUACGAAAGGACCAAAUAUUUAUAAAAUUUAUUUAUAUUUUGAUUAU